This 194-nucleotide non-coding RNA is filed under the name Ureibacillus acetophenoni. RNAcentral describes it as "Lysinibacillus acetophenoni 6S / SsrS RNA". It matches the Rfam family "6S / SsrS RNA". Rfam says of the family: E. coli 6S RNA was the first non coding RNA to be sequenced, but its function was unknown until recently. It consists of 184 nucleotides that fold into an extended hairpin structure with a large single-stranded internal bulge. The 6S RNA specifically associates with RNA polymerase holoenzyme containing the sigma70 specificity factor. Lineage: Bacteria; Bacillati; Bacillota; Bacilli; Caryophanales; Caryophanaceae. The record is from RNAcentral.
UUAAAGCUGCGUUGUUCGUACUAAUAAUAAGUUUUAACCUUUGAACUGUAAUAGGGAGUUUUAAUUGAAGUUGGAAUGGCGAGCGUCACACUGCGGUGAAUGACGAUAUACAGGAAAGCUUCUGCGAACACCCACUUUGAGGAGUGGUGGUUUAAAACUUUUUAUUAAACAAAAUACGGCAAGGCGGCUUUGCC